GAUGAACGCUGGCGGCGUGCCUAAUACAUGCAAGUCGAGCGAACGGACGAGAAGCUUGCUUCUCUGAUGUUAGCGGCGGACGGGUGAGUAACACGUGGAUAACCUACCUAUAAGACUGGGAUAACUUCGGGAAACCGGAGCUAAUACCGGAUGAUAUUUUGAACCGCAUGGUUCAAAAGUGAAAGACGGUCUUGCUGUCACUUAUAGAUGGAUCCGCGCCGCAUUAGCUAGUUGGUAAGGUAACGGCUUACCAAGGCAACGAUGCAUAGCCGACCUGAGAGGGUGAUCGGCCACACUGGAACUGAGACACGGUCCAGACUCCUACGGGAGGCAGCAGUAGGGAAUCUUCCGCAAAGGGCGAAAGCCUGACGGAGCAACGCCGCGUGAGUGAUGAAGGUCUUCGGAUCGUAAAACUCUGUUAUUAGGGAAGAACAUAUGUGUAAGUAACUGUGCACAUCUUGACGGUACCUAAUCAGAAAGCCACGGCUAACUACGUG
Molecule: ribosomal RNA, 497 nt
Filed under: uncultured bacterium
Lineage: Bacteria
Description: partial 16S ribosomal RNA
Rfam family: Bacterial small subunit ribosomal RNA
Source: RNAcentral